CAGCAGCCGCGGGAAUACGUAGGUGGCAAGCGUUAUCCGGAAUUAUUGGGCGUAAAGCGCGCGUAGGCGGUUUUUUAAGUCUGAUGUGAAAGCCCACGGCUCAACCGUGGAGGGUCAUUGGAAACUGGAAAACUUGAGUGCAGAAGAGGAAAGUGGAAUUCCAUGUGUAGCGGUGAAAUGCGCAGAGAUAUGGAGGAACACCAGUGGCGAAGGCGACUUUCUGGUCUGUAACUGACGCUGAUGUGCGAAAGCGUGGGGAUCAAACAGGAUUAGAGACCCCAGUAGUCCCUGUCUCUUAUAA
This 301-nucleotide ribosomal RNA is filed under the name uncultured bacterium. Its description in RNAcentral is "partial 16S ribosomal RNA". It matches the Rfam family "Bacterial small subunit ribosomal RNA", at positions 509 to 809 of the family's 1533-position model. The record is from RNAcentral.